RNAcentral lists this non-coding RNA (169 nucleotides) under Bigelowiella longifila. Lineage: Eukaryota; Cercozoa; Chlorarachniophyceae. The record is from RNAcentral.
GGACAAACAUUUCUUCAGGUACCUAUCCCAAAAUUGGCAGAGCCCCCCCAACAAAGUAAUUCUUCGAAGAAAGAGGAGGGCCCAGCAGUAGCAACAGGUACCUCCUCCUCAGAAGAAAUCGGUGAGCCAAAGGAAAAAAAAUCUAAAACAGCUCCCUCUUCUUCCUCUG